AAACCAACAGGAUUGCCUCAGUAGCGGCGAGUGAAGCGGCAAGAGCUCAGAUUUGAAAUCGUGCUUUGCGGCACGAGUUGUAGAUUGCAGGUUGGAGUCUGUGUGGAAGGCGGUGUCCAAGUCCCUUGGAACAGGGCGCCCAGGAGGGUGAGAGCCCCGUGGGAUGCCGGCGGAAGCAGUGAGGCCCUUCUGACGAGUCGAGUUGUUUGGGAAUGCAGCUCCAAGCGGGUGGUAAAUUCCAUCUAAGGCUAAAUACUGGCGAGAGACCGAUAGCGAACAAGUACUGUGAAGGAAAGAUGAAAAGCACUUUGAAAAGAGAGUGAAACAGCACGUGAAAUUGUUGAAAGGGAAGGGUAUUGCGCCCGACAUGGGGAUUGCGCACCGCUGCCUCUCGUGGGCGCGCUCUGGGCUUUCCCUGGGCCAGCAUCGGUUCUUGCUGCAGGAGAAGGGGUUCUGGAACGUGGCUCUUCGGAGUGUUAUAGCCAGGG
Molecule: ribosomal RNA, 488 nt
Filed under: uncultured Pichia
Lineage: Eukaryota; Fungi; Ascomycota; Saccharomycetes; Saccharomycetales; Saccharomycetaceae
Description: eukaryotic LSU rRNA
Rfam family: Eukaryotic large subunit ribosomal RNA
Source: RNAcentral